Molecule: small nuclear RNA, 142 nt
Organism: Tupaia belangeri (northern tree shrew)
Lineage: Eukaryota; Metazoa; Chordata; Mammalia; Scandentia; Tupaiidae
Gene: U1
Rfam family: U1 spliceosomal RNA
About the family: U1 is a small nuclear RNA (snRNA) component of the spliceosome (involved in pre-mRNA splicing). Its 5' end forms complementary base pairs with the 5' splice junction, thus defining the 5' donor site of an intron. There are significant differences in sequence and secondary structure between metazoan and yeast U1 snRNAs, the latter being much longer (568 nucleotides as compared to 164 nucleotides in human).
Source: Ensembl
AUACUUACCUGGCAGGGGAGAUAUGAUCACGAAGGUGGUUUCCAGUGGGAAGUUCAUCCAUUGCAGUCCGGGUGUGCUGACCCCUGCAAUUACCCCAAAUAUAGUUUGUGGUAGUGGGGGACUGCAUUCGUACUUCCCCUGG